RNAcentral lists this ribosomal RNA (253 nucleotides) under uncultured bacterium. RNAcentral describes it as "partial 16S ribosomal RNA". It matches the Rfam family "Bacterial small subunit ribosomal RNA", at positions 524 to 776 of the family's 1533-position model. The record is from RNAcentral.
UACAGAGGUCCCAAGCGUUGUUCGGAUUCACUGGGCGUAAAGGGUGCGUAGGUGGUGAUGUAAGACAGUUGUGAAAUCCCCGGGCUCAACCUGGGAACUGCAUCUGUGACUGCAUUGCUGGAGUGCGGCAGAGGGGGAUGGAAUUCCGCGUGUAGCAGUGAAAUGCGUAGAUACUGGGAGGAACACCAGUGGCGAAGGCGGCUACCUGGACCGGUUCUGACGCUGAGGCGCGAAAGCGUGGGUAGCAAACAGG